GACCUCAAAUCAGGUAGGAGUACCCGCUGAACUUAGCAUAUCAAUAAGCGGAGGA
Molecule: ribosomal RNA, 55 nt
Filed under: uncultured Glomus
Lineage: Eukaryota; Fungi; Glomeromycota; Glomeromycetes; Glomerales; Glomeraceae
Description: partial 28S ribosomal RNA
Source: RNAcentral